Molecule: unclassified non-coding RNA, 246 nt
Filed under: Hevea brasiliensis (rubber tree)
Lineage: Eukaryota; Viridiplantae; Streptophyta; Magnoliopsida; Malpighiales; Euphorbiaceae
Source: RNAcentral
AAGUUAAGCCAUUCAAAGUGCAUUGCUUGUAUUAAUUCUUGAUAAUCCAGUGUACUGAGGAUCUAUUUGGGACGUAAGAAGCCCCUUUGACAUCUUUUCAUUUGCUAGGAAUUUUUUAUGUGAAAUCACAGAGAUAAAGUGAUGCAGUCAAACAAGACCAAAUUUAGAAAUUAUUUUGAUUUAAUAUUUCAUUUUAAAAUUAAGAAAAUUAGGUUUUUAUUGUUUAGAAAAUUUAAUUAGGAAGUA